RNAcentral lists this ribosomal RNA (366 nucleotides) under uncultured organism. RNAcentral's name for it is "bacterial SSU rRNA". It matches the Rfam family "Bacterial small subunit ribosomal RNA", at positions 526 to 896 of the family's 1533-position model. The record is from RNAcentral.
CGUAGGUGCAAGCGUUGUCCGGAUUUAUUGGUUUAAAGGGUGCGUAGGCGGCUUUGUAAGUCAGUGGUGAAAUAUGGCAGCUCAACUGUCAAGGUGCCAUUGAUACUGCGGAGCUUGAGUACAGAUGAGGUAGGCGGAAUUGACGGUGUAGCGGUGAAAUGCUUAGAUAUCGUCAAGAACACCUAUAGCGAAGGCAGCUUACUAGGCUGUAACUGACGCUGAGGCACGAAAGUGUGGGGAUCAAACAGGAUUAGAUACCCUGGUAGUCCACACUGUAAACGUUGAUUACUCGCUGUGUGCGAUAUACAGUACGCGGCCAAGCGAAAGCGCUAAGUAAUCCACCUGGGGAGUACGCCGGCAACGGUG